GCCAAUAAAGUUAGUGAUUGCUUGCAACCCAUGCAGGGGCAUUAAGAUGGUGUGUAUGUCUCGUUUGGCAUUUGUGCUUGGUAUAGUCGGUCGCAUUUACAACCCACCUGUUCUAUGUUGCGUAGUGGGUACGGAGCACUCAGGUGGAUGCUCUAGACAUCCUUGCACCUGAAGGCUGGCUUCUCAGAGCAGUUGAUUGCCGCUUGCUUCCAACAGUGGGCGGAUAAAAGGUCGUUGAUCCUUUGGCCUUAUUCAUCCCAAGGAUCCUAGAUGACAUAGCACCAUCUUU
RNAcentral lists this non-coding RNA (289 nucleotides) under Triticum aestivum (bread wheat). Lineage: Eukaryota; Viridiplantae; Streptophyta; Magnoliopsida; Poales; Poaceae. The record is from RNAcentral.